GGCGGGGCGGAUCAUCCGGCGUUCUCGCCGGUGCACUCCGCCACGCCCGGGCCAGCAUCGGUUCGCGGCGGGGGACAAAGGCGCCGGGAACGUGGCUCCUCCGGGAGUGUUAUAGCCCGGCGCGCAAUGCCCCGCGGCGGACCGAGGUUCGCGCUCCGCAAGGAUGCUGGCGUAAUGGUCACCAGCGACCCGUCUUGAAACACGGACCAAGGAGUCGUCUUCGUAUGCGAGUGUUCGGGUGUCAAACCCCUACGCGUAAUGAAAGUGAACGCAGGUGAGAGCUUCGGCGCAUCAUCGACCGAUCCUGAUGUUCUCGGAUGGAUUUGAGUAAGAGCAUACGGGGCCGGACCCGAAAGAAGGUGAACUAUGCCUGUAUAGGGUGAAGCCAGAGGAAACUCUGGUGGAGGCUCGCAGCGGUUCUGACGUGCAAAUCGAUCGUCAAAUAUGGGCAUGGGGGCGAAAGACUAAUCGAACCUUCUAGUAGCUGGUUUCCGCCGAAGUUUCCCUCAGGAUAGCAGUGUCGAUCUCAGUUUUAUGAGGUAAAGCGAAUGAUUAGGGACCCGGGGGCGCUCUUUAGCCUUCAUCCAUUCUCAAACUUUAAAUAUGUAAGAAGCCCUUGUUACUUGAUUGAACGUGGGCAUUCGAAUGUACCGACACUAGUGGGCCAUUUUUGGUAAGCAGAACUGGCGAUGCGGGAUGAACCGAACGCGAGGUUAAGGUGCCGGAGUGGACGCUCAUCAGACACCACAAAAGGCGUUAGUACAUCUUGACAGCAGGACGGUGGCCAUGGAAGUCGGAAUCCGCUAAGGACUGUGUAACAACUCACCUGCCGAAUGUACUAGCCCUGAAAAUGGAUGGCGCUCAAGCGUCCCACCCAUACCUCGCCCUCGGGGUAGAAACGAAGCCCCGAGGAGUAGGCGGACGUGGGGGUCAGUGACGAAGCCUA
RNAcentral lists this ribosomal RNA (946 nucleotides) under Ophiocordyceps sp. RNAcentral describes it as "partial large subunit ribosomal RNA". It matches the Rfam family "Eukaryotic large subunit ribosomal RNA", at positions 440 to 1412 of the family's 3401-position model. The record is from RNAcentral. Lineage: Eukaryota; Fungi; Ascomycota; Sordariomycetes; Hypocreales; Ophiocordycipitaceae.